Artibeus jamaicensis (Jamaican fruit-eating bat) is the source of this 104-nucleotide small nuclear RNA. The record is from RefSeq and is a predicted model, not a curated record. NCBI's taxonomy places the organism in Eukaryota, Metazoa, Chordata, Mammalia, Chiroptera, Phyllostomidae.
GUGCUUGCUUUGGCAGCGCAUAUACUAAAACUGAAAUGACACAGAGAUUAGCGUGGUCCCUGUACAAAGAUAACAUGCAAAUUCAUGAAACGUUCCAUAUUUUU